Molecule: ribosomal RNA, 482 nt
Filed under: uncultured bacterium
Lineage: Bacteria
Description: partial 16S ribosomal RNA
Rfam family: Bacterial small subunit ribosomal RNA
Source: RNAcentral
GAUGAACGCUAGCGGCAGGCCUAAUACAUGCAAGUCGAACGAGAUUAAGAGGCUUGCUUCUUAUGAAAGUGGCGCACGGGUGCGUAACGCGUAUGCAACCUACCUUAAUCAGGGGGAUAGCCCGAAGAAAUUCGGAUUAAGACCGCAUAAAAACACAGGAUAGCAUUAUCCAAUGUUCAAAUAUUUAUAGGAUUAAGAUGGGCAUGCGUGUCAUUAGCUAGUUGGCGGGGUAACGGCCCACCAAGGCGACGAUGACUAGGGGAUCUGAGAGGAUGACCCCCCACACUGGUACUGAGACACGGACCAGACUCCUACGGGAGGCAGCAGUAAGGAAUAUUGGUCAAUGGAGGGAACUCUGAACCAGCCAUGCCGCGUGCAGGAAGACAGCCCUCUGGGUCGUAAACUGCUUUUAUUCAGGAAUAAACCUUUCUACGUGUAGGAAGCUGAAUGUACCGAAGGAAUAAGGAUCGGCUAACUCCGUG